AUCUUUCAUCUAAGGGGAGAUAACUACUUAUCACCAAGGGGAACCUGAUCAAGGUAACGGGAGGAGAAGUAUAAGGUGAUACAUCUAUUCUUCAGUAAGUGGUAGACAGGAACUUAUUCAUUACCACUGAAGAAUUCAAUGAAGCUGCUGAUUGUUCUUUGCAUAAUGGAAUGUUUUGAAUUCUCUUCAAGACAGACUAUGAGGAUUAUCUGGCAGGUAAGCAAGAACCAGAGAAAUAAAGGUGAUAUGCACAUUUGUUAUUUCUAUUCAUGAAAUCUGGAAAUGUAUUAUAUGAUCCAGAAACUUUGUAGCAUUAUUUACUAGUCCAGGACUUUACUUUUUCUAGUGUUAGUUGAGUUAUCCUCCAGAGGAUUUGCUUGUUAUGAUUAACAAACAAAUAGGGGGAGAUUGUAAGUCUAAAUGUAAAGAC
This 430-nucleotide long non-coding RNA is filed under the name Daucus carota (carrot). RNAcentral's name for it is "long non-coding RNA (DCAR_LNC007489)". Lineage: Eukaryota; Viridiplantae; Streptophyta; Magnoliopsida; Apiales; Apiaceae. The record is from RNAcentral.